This 112-nucleotide non-coding RNA is filed under the name Lysinibacillus macroides. RNAcentral's name for it is "SAM-I sequence". It matches the Rfam family "SAM riboswitch aptamer (S box leader)". From Rfam's summary of the family: The SAM riboswitch is found upstream of a number of genes which code for proteins involved in methionine or cysteine biosynthesis in Gram-positive bacteria. The record is from RNAcentral. Lineage: Bacteria; Bacillati; Bacillota; Bacilli; Caryophanales; Bacillaceae.
ACCUUAUCAAGAGAAAGCAGAGGGAUUUGGCCCGAUGACGCUUCAGCAACCUCUAACAACAGUUAGAAAGGUGCUAAUUCCAGCAAAGGAUUUAUCCUUUGAGAGAUAAGAG